GUGACUCUUCGAGAAGAACCAGACCUGUAAAGAUGUUUAUGUGGUGGUCCGCUGCUUUAUUUCUUGGAUGCCUUUUGUUGGGAACAGACGGGUGGCCAGCCAAGGAAGGAUACGACUUCAAGCCCUAUCAGCCUCUAGUAAGAUUACGCCACAAGCAAGAGAAGAGUCAGGAAAGUUCAAGAAAUAAAGGUAAGUG
Molecule: non-coding RNA, 196 nt
Organism: Tinamus guttatus (white-throated tinamou)
Lineage: Eukaryota; Metazoa; Chordata; Aves; Tinamiformes; Tinamidae
Source: RefSeq, a predicted model, not a curated record